ACAUCCUCUUUUGUCAAAACCACAUAUGGAAGUUUCUCAACAACAGAUUUUGCUGCCGGAGGCCGACCAAUCAAUGAAUUCUCAUUCUCUGCAAAUUGCCCAAACAACAUCUCAUACUCAGAAGUGUAAAUAAAAUCAUCAUGGUCCCCAAAAUAAAGCUCAGCAUUAUGGUCCUGGAUGCGGUCCAGAUUUGAGUCGAAGUUGUUUGCGUUCAACAAAACUUCCCAUUCCAAAUUUCCCAAUCCUCCUACCCUCUCUACACUCACCA
This 268-nucleotide unclassified non-coding RNA is filed under the name Hevea brasiliensis (rubber tree). Lineage: Eukaryota; Viridiplantae; Streptophyta; Magnoliopsida; Malpighiales; Euphorbiaceae. The record is from RNAcentral.